RNAcentral lists this ribosomal RNA (299 nucleotides) under uncultured Legionella sp. RNAcentral describes it as "partial 16S ribosomal RNA". It matches the Rfam family "Bacterial small subunit ribosomal RNA", at positions 284 to 575 of the family's 1533-position model. The record is from RNAcentral. Lineage: Bacteria; Pseudomonadati; Pseudomonadota; Gammaproteobacteria; Legionellales; Legionellaceae.
UAGCUGGUCUGAGAGGAUGACCAGCCACACUGGAACUGAGACACGGUCCAGACUCCUACGGGAGGCAGCAGUGGGGAAUAUUGGACAAUGGGGGCAACCCUGAUCCAGCAAUGCCGCGUGUGUGAAGAAGGCCUGAGGGUUGUAAAGCACUUUYAGUGGGGAGGAGGGUUGAUAGGUUAAGAGCUAAUUAACUGGACGUUACCCACAGAAGAAGCACCGGCUAACUCCGUGCCAGCAGCCGCGGUAAUACGGAGGGUGCGAGCGUUAAUCGGAAUUACUGGGCGUAAAGGGUGCGUAGG